CCUACGGGUGGCAGCAGUGAGGAAUAUUGGUCAAUGGGCGAGAGCCUGAACCAGCCAAGUCGCGUGAAGGAUGACGGCCCUACGGGUUGUAAACUUCUUUUGUCAGGGAGCAAUUGAGUCCACGUGUGGUCUUAGCGAGAGUAACUGAAGAAAAAGCAUCGGCUGACUCCGUGCCAGCAGCAGCGGUAAUACGGAGGAUGCGAGCGUUAUCCGGCUUUGUUGGGGUUAAAGGGUGCGUAGGCGGAAUAUCAAGUCAGCGGUAAAAAUUCGGGGCUCAACCCCGUCGUGCCGUUGAAACUGAUGGUCUUGAGUGGGCGAGAGGUAGGCGGAAUGCGUGGUGUAGCGGUGAAAUGCAUAGAUAUCACGCAGAACUCCGAUUGCGAAGGCAGCAUACCGGCGCCCAACUGACGCUGAAGCACGAAAGCGUGGGUAUCGAACAGGAUUAGAUACCCGAGUAGUC
RNAcentral lists this ribosomal RNA (460 nucleotides) under uncultured bacterium. RNAcentral describes it as "partial 16S ribosomal RNA". It matches the Rfam family "Bacterial small subunit ribosomal RNA", at positions 338 to 795 of the family's 1533-position model. The record is from RNAcentral.